This 376-nucleotide ribosomal RNA is filed under the name uncultured bacterium. Its description in RNAcentral is "bacterial SSU rRNA". It matches the Rfam family "Bacterial small subunit ribosomal RNA", at positions 524 to 898 of the family's 1533-position model. The record is from RNAcentral.
UACGUAGGGUGCAAGCGUUAAUCGGAAUUAUUGGGCGUAAAGGGCGCGUAGGCGGUUUUGUCGGUCAGAUGUGAAAGCCCGGGGCUCAACCCCGGACGUGCAUUUGAAACAGCAAGACUUGAGUACGGGAGAGGAAAGCGGAAUUCCUGGUGUAGAGGUGAAAUUCGUAGAUAUCAGGAGGAACACCGAUGGCGAAGGCAGCUUUCUGGACCGAUACUGACGCUGAGGCGCGAAGGCGUGGGUAGCGAACAGGAUUAGAUACCCUGAUAGUCCACGCAGUAAACGAUGUACACUCGGUGUAGCGGAUAUUAAAAUCUGCUGCGCCCAAGCUAACGCAUUAAGUGUACCGCCUGGGGAGUACGGUCGCAAGACUAAA